GAUGAACGCUGGCGGCGUGCCUAAUACAUGCAAGUCGAGCGAACAGACGAUUCUCUUGCUCCUCUUACGUUAUCGGCGGACGUGUGUUUAACACGUUUUUAACCUACCUAUAAGACUUGUAUAACUUCGGGAAACCGUAUCUAAUACCGUAUAAUAUAUUGCACCUCAUGGUUCAAUAGUUUAUGACGUUUUUUCUGUCACUUAUAUAUUUUUCCGCGCCGCAUUAGCUAGUUGGUAAGGUAACGGCUUACCAAGGCAACGAUGCUUAGCCGACAUGAGAGGGUGAUCGGCCAAAGUGGAACUGAGACACGGUCCAGACUACUACGGGAGGCAGCAGAAGGGAAUAUGCCGCAAAGGGCGAAAGCAUGACGGAGCAAAGCCGCGUGAGUGAAGAAGGUCUUCGGAUCGUAAAACUCUGUUAGUAGGGAAGAAAAAAAGUGUAAGUAAAUAUGCACGUCUUGACGGUAACAAAUCAGAAAGCAACGGCUAACUACGUG
RNAcentral lists this ribosomal RNA (497 nucleotides) under uncultured bacterium. RNAcentral's name for it is "partial 16S ribosomal RNA". It matches the Rfam family "Bacterial small subunit ribosomal RNA", at positions 28 to 507 of the family's 1533-position model. The record is from RNAcentral.